CUGGGCAUACCCCAUUUGCAAUACCUUGGGUUGUCUACUAUUGCAGAUGGUAUGCCAUUAUGGGUGUAAAUUUCAUUCCCGGGCUACUAUACAGUCUCAAAGGCAACGUAACCAAUCUGGCGAAUUUCAAUUUCAAAUGUAACGUGCUAUAUUUGACCCUGUAACUUCCCAAAACGCCAUAAAACCUGUACAUAGGGGGUACUGUCUUACACGUGAG
Pelobates cultripes (western spadefoot toad) is the source of this 217-nucleotide non-coding RNA. Lineage: Eukaryota; Metazoa; Chordata; Amphibia; Anura; Pelobatidae. The record is from the annotation of a GenBank genome assembly.